This 484-nucleotide ribosomal RNA is filed under the name uncultured bacterium. RNAcentral describes it as "partial 16S ribosomal RNA". It matches the Rfam family "Bacterial small subunit ribosomal RNA", at positions 30 to 507 of the family's 1533-position model. The record is from RNAcentral.
AUUGAACGCUGGCGGCAGGCCUAACACAUGCAAGUCGAGCGGAUGAAGGGAGCUUGCUCCUGGAUUCAGCGGCGGACGGGUGAGUAAUGCCUAGGAAUCUGCCUGGUAGUGGGGGAUAACGUCCGGAAACGGGCGCUAAUACCGCAUACGUCCUGAGGGAGAAAGUGGGGGACCUUCGGACCUCACGCUAUCAGAUGAGCCUAGGUCGGAUUAGCUAGUUGGUGGGGUAAAGGCCUACCAAGGCGACGAUCCGUAACUGGUCUGAGAGGAUGAUCAGUCACACUGGAACUGAGACACGGUCCAGACUCCUACGGGAGGCAGCAGUGGGGAAUAUUGGACAAUGGGCGAAAGCCUGAUCCGGCCAUGCCGCGUGUGUGAAGAAGGUCUUCGGAUUGUAAAGCACUUUAAGUUGGGAGGAAGGGCAGUAAGUUAAUACCUUGCUGUUUUGACGUUACCAACAGAAUAAGCACCGGCUAACUUCGUG